RNAcentral lists this unclassified non-coding RNA (329 nucleotides) under soil metagenome. RNAcentral describes it as "partial contains 5.8S ribosomal RNA, internal transcribed spacer 2, and large subunit ribosomal RNA". The stretch from base 1 to 120 matches the Rfam family "5.8S ribosomal RNA", at positions 35 to 154 of the family's 154-position model. The record is from RNAcentral.
GAUGAAGAACGUAGCGAAAUGCGAUAAGUAAUGUGAAUUGCAGAAUUCAGUGAAUCAUCGAAUCUUUGAACGCACAUUGCGCCCCCUGGUAUUCCGGGGGGCAUGCCUGUCCGAGCGUCAUUACAACCCUCAAGCUCAGCUUGGUGUUGGGCCCCGCCGCCCCGGCGGGCCCUAAAGUCAGUGGCGGUGCCGUCCGGCUCCGAGCGUAGUAAUUCCUCUCGCUCUGGAGGUCCGGUCGUGUGCUCGCCAGCAACCCCCAAUUUUUUUCAGGUUGACCUCGGAUCAGGUAGGGAUACCCGCUGAACUUAAGCAUAUCAAUAAGCGGAGGA